UACGAAGGGGGCUAGCGUUGUUCGGAAUUACUGGGCGUAAAGCGCACGUAGGCGGAUAUUUAAGUCAGGGGUGAAAUCCCAGAGCUCAACUCUGGAACUGCCUUUGAUACUGGGUAUCUCGAGUAUGGAAGAGGUGAGUGGAAUUCCGAGUGUAGAGGUGAAAUUCGUAGAUAUUCGCAAGAACACCAGUGGCGAAGGCGGCUCACUGGCCCGGUACUGACGCUGAGGUGCGAAAGCGUGGGGGGCAAACAGG
Molecule: ribosomal RNA, 253 nt
Filed under: uncultured bacterium
Lineage: Bacteria
Description: partial 16S ribosomal RNA
Rfam family: Bacterial small subunit ribosomal RNA
Source: RNAcentral